GGAGGGUGAUCCAAGAUCUCUUGCUAGAUCGGUGAUUUCCACAGAAGAAUUGUUAUUUUUGGAUAUAUAUCCACCUCCACGUGAUUGUUGCUUCUUACCACACGCCGAUUUUGCAGCCCCUGUGCCACCAAUACUGCCAGGACGCCGAAUACCCUUCCCACCAGACUGUCCACCACUUCUUCCUUUGCCUGGACCUUCUACAAAAUCGUCGUCGUCGUCCGUCACGCAA
Molecule: long non-coding RNA, 229 nt
Filed under: Brassica napus (rape)
Lineage: Eukaryota; Viridiplantae; Streptophyta; Magnoliopsida; Brassicales; Brassicaceae
Description: long non-coding RNA (BNAP_LNC022881)
Source: RNAcentral